This 209-nucleotide ribosomal RNA is filed under the name uncultured prokaryote. RNAcentral's name for it is "partial 16S ribosomal RNA". It matches the Rfam family "Bacterial small subunit ribosomal RNA", at positions 524 to 732 of the family's 1533-position model. The record is from RNAcentral.
CCCGGGGGGAGCAAGCGUUGUUCGUCCUCCCUUUUCUUCCCUUUCUUUUAGGCGGUCAGGUAAGUGAAAUGUGAAAUGCCUCGGCUCACCCGAGGACCGGCAUCUCAUACUACCUGACUUGAGUACGGGAGAGGAUGUGGGAAUUCCUGGUGUAGCGGUGAAAUGCGUAGAUAUCAGGAGGAACACCGGUGGCGAAGGCGCACAUCUGG